RNAcentral lists this ribosomal RNA (442 nucleotides) under uncultured bacterium. RNAcentral describes it as "bacterial SSU rRNA". It matches the Rfam family "Bacterial small subunit ribosomal RNA", at positions 355 to 787 of the family's 1533-position model. The record is from RNAcentral.
UGGGGAAUUUUGGACAAUGGGGGCAACCCUGAUCCAGCAAUGCCGCGUGAGUGAAGAAGGCCUUCGGGUUGUAAAGCUCUUUUGUCAGGGAAGAAACGGUGGUGGCGAAUAACUACUACUAAUGACGGUACCUGAAGAAUAAGCACCGGCUAACUACGUGCCAGCAGCCGCGGUAAUACGUAGGGUGCAAGCGUUAAUCGGAAUUACUGGGCGUAAAGCGUGCGCAGGCGGUUGUGUAAGUCAGAUGUGAAAUCCCCGGGCUCAACCUGGGAAUUGCAUUUGAGACUGCACGGCUAGAGUGUGUCAGAGGGGGGCUAGAAUUCCACGUGUAGCAGUGAAAUGCGUAGAUAUGUGGAGGAAUACCGAUGGCGAAGGCAGCCCCCUGGGAUAAGCACUGACGCUCAUGCACGAAAGCGUGGGGAGCAAACAGGAUUAGAUACCC